Molecule: ribosomal RNA, 507 nt
Filed under: uncultured bacterium
Lineage: Bacteria
Description: partial 16S ribosomal RNA
Rfam family: Bacterial small subunit ribosomal RNA
Source: RNAcentral
GACGAACGCUGGCGGCGUGCCUAAUACAUGCAAGUCGAACGCAUUUUCUUUCACCGUAUCUUGCUACACCGAAAGAAAAUGGGUGGCGAACGGGUGAGUAACACGUGUGUAACUUGCCCAUCAGCGGGGGAGAACACUUGGAACCAGUUCCUCAUACCGCAUAAUUCCAUUUACCGCAUGGUUUAUAGAUUAAAGGCGCUUUUGCGUCACUGAUGGAUUUACCCGCGGUGCAUUUUCUAGUUUGUGGGGUAAAGGCCUACCAAGGCUGCGAUGCAUAGCCGGCUUGAGAGGGAGGACCACCAACACGGGACCGGGAAAAGGCCCAGAACUCCUAGGGAAGGCGCAAUAGGGGAUCAUUGGCAAUGGAGGCAAGGCUGAACGCGCAACGCCGCGUGAGGGAAGAAGGGCUUCGGGUUGUAAAACUCUUUUGUUAGAGAAGAAAAAGGAGGAGAUUGGAAAGUUGCUCCCUUGACGGUACCUAACCAGAAAGCCACGGCUAACUACGUG